RNAcentral lists this non-coding RNA (45 nucleotides) under Schistosoma margrebowiei. Lineage: Eukaryota; Metazoa; Platyhelminthes; Trematoda; Strigeidida; Schistosomatidae. The record is from RNAcentral.
AUCCAGGUGACGAGUCCAAAAUAGGACGAAAUGCGUGUCUUGGAU